GACGAACGCUGGCGGCGUGCUUAACACAUGCAAGUCGAACGGAAAGGCCCUGCUUUUGUGGGGUGCUCGAGUGGCGAACGGGUGAGUAACACGUGAGUAACCUGCCCUUGACUUUGGGAUAACUUCAGGAAACUGGGGCUAAUACCGGAUAGGAGCUCCUGCUGCAUGGUGGGGGUUGGAAAGUUUCGGCGGUUGGGGAUGGACUCGCGGCUUAUCAGCUUGUUGGUGGGGUAGUGGCUUACCAAGGCUUUGACGGGUAGCCGGCCUGAGAGGGUGACCGGCCACAUUGGGACUGAGAUACGGCCCAGACUCCUACGGGAGGCAGCAGUGGGGAAUAUUGCACAAUGGGCGGAAGCCUGAUGCAGCAACGCCGCGUGCGGGAUGACGGCCUUCGGGUUGUAAACCGCUUUCGCCUGUGACGAAGCGUGGGUGACGGUAAUGGGUAAAGAGGCACCGGCUAACUACGUG
This 468-nucleotide ribosomal RNA is filed under the name uncultured bacterium. RNAcentral describes it as "partial 16S ribosomal RNA". It matches the Rfam family "Bacterial small subunit ribosomal RNA", at positions 28 to 507 of the family's 1533-position model. The record is from RNAcentral.